This 514-nucleotide ribosomal RNA is filed under the name uncultured organism. RNAcentral's name for it is "bacterial SSU rRNA". It matches the Rfam family "Bacterial small subunit ribosomal RNA", at positions 882 to 1411 of the family's 1533-position model. The record is from RNAcentral.
ACGGCCGCAAGGUUAAACUCAUAGGUAUUGACGUGGUCCCGCACAAGCAGCGGAGCGUGUGGUUUAAUUCGAUGAUACGCGAAGAACCUUACCUGGGCUGAACUACGUGGUAGUAGUGAAGCGUAAGCGGAUCGACCCUUCGGGGAGCCUCGAUAGGUGCUGCAUGGCUGUCGUCAGCUCGUGUCGUGAGAUGUUGGGUUAAGUCCCGCAACGAGCGCAACCCUCGUCGCUAGUUACAAGUGUCUAGCGAGACUGCCGGUAUCAAACCGGAGGAAGGUGGGGAUGACGUCAAGUCAGCAUGGUUUUUAUGUCCAGGGCUACACACACGCUACAAUGGUCGGUACAAUAGGUUGCCACACCGCGAGGUGGAGCUAAUCCUCAAAGCCGAUCUCAGUUCGGAUUGUAGUCUGCAACUCGACUACAUGAAGGCGGAGUUGCUAGUAACCGCGCGUCAGCAUAGUGCGGUGAAUGCGUUCCCGGGCCUUGUACACACCGCCCGUCACAUCAUGGGAGU